GGUCUGGGGUCGGCUGGGCCUUUGCCUGCUGCUUGGUGCCCAGUGCAUGCCCACAGGUUAAUGGUCAGUCUGGUCAGCCUGUGUCCUAGGGGAUGGAGGUGUCAGGUCUGGAUGAAGAGCUGGGUAGGGGGGCUCAGCGCUGCUCUGAGUUGGGGGUGACUAGAAGGGACCUGGGCUGCCCCCACACUGGCAGUGCUCCAACUCAGCUCUGAGCCCCUCCUUCCUUCCUGCCGCCACCCCCACACCUGGCUCUCAUCUCACCACCUCACACCUGGGUUCUUGCAAAAGCCUGGCCUCCUACUGGGUUCUGCGCUCUGCACACAGUAGGUACCCUCUACACACACCAGGCCCUUGACUUGGGAGUGGACAGGGAGGCCCCCAGACAGCACCCCCUUGAUGACUCCAUUGAUGAAGCUGGCUGGUGCCCACUCCUAGGGGAGAGCAUGCAGGCCCAGUAGCCUCCCCUUCUCUCCCCGUGGUGAGAGAAUCUGGGAGAACAGGGCCUGGGGAGCAGUGACUGGACAGCCCUGGAGAGCUCUGCCGACCAACCCUUGGGCGCAAACUGUGCCCCUGCUGAGCCCUGCCUUGCUGGGACUCAACCGUGAGGCCUGUGGCUCGGAGGCUGGUGGGGACCAUCUGGCUGUGCUAGUGUAAACAGCUGUGGUGGCUGGAGAUGGCCACGCUGGACGGUGCGGAGCUGAGAUAGGCCCUCGAAGUGCAACGGGAGGCGCGGCCUGCACAGUUGUGGCUCCGUUCUGCGGUUUAGGGUCACCAGGUAAAGUGCAGGAUGCCCAGCUGAAUCCGAAUUGCACGUAGACCAUGACUGUUCUUAGCGUGAGUGUGUGCCAUGUAAUAUUUGGGACACUGUUGAAGACAAAUACUAAACAAGCCUCUGUUCUUUAUCUGAAAUUCGAGGCUUAACAGCCGCCCUGUAUUUCCAUCGGUGGAUCUGGCUGCCCUGUUCACGCACCGGCCCAGGACAGCCUGUGUCUGGACGAGGCCUGCGGUCGGCGGUUGACUGGUCAGUGGGAGGCUGCUGUUGGGCCUGGUGGUCUCGAGGACAAGUGGAGUCUUGGCUAAGGACACAGAGGCUGUGAACUUGCCUGCUCUGGCUGCCCUCAGGACCCCCCACCCCCUGGCUGCCCAGAAAACAGACUGGAGGCUGGAAACUGGCCCCUCUGAGCACAGGCCACAGGCGAGGCUGCCUGCCGGGUCCUGCCCUCCCACAGGCCCUGUCUCUAUUCCGCCUGCCUUCCUUCCGGCCAUCGCUGAGCAUAGGAGCAUCCCGGGGGUCCGUGUCCAGGCAGCCAGCUGAUGCAGGAGGGCACCCCAACCGCGUGGAAGCUGCCUACAAGUCCGGGCCCGUCGUGCUGCGCUGGCCCAGGGUCAAGGCCGAGAUGCAGCGGGGUCUCUGCGGGGGCCACCAGCACCUCACUUGGACCCCCUGGCUUCUCAGCUUUCCUGAGGGGCUCCAAGAGGGGCAGGUGCGGUGUGGGAUGCCAAGGCCCCCAUCCAAUCGCGGCCCCAUUGACAUCCUCAGCUGGGCUCCUUUGGGGCCUCCUCUGGCCAGCCGGCUGGUGGGCAGCCCCUGGCUACAGGCGCCCGCCUCCACUCUCAUCUGGACACCUCCUGACACUGGGGCCCUGAGGAGCCCCCACCUCCCUCCUGCCCACAGCCCCUGCGCGGCUGUCUGGCCAGGGGGUGAGAGGUGUGUCUGUUCUCGCCUGGCCGGGCGGAGGGCAGGGAAGGGGUGAGAGGUGCGUCUGUUCUCGCCUGGCCGGGCGGAGGGCAGGGAAGCGGUGAGAGGUGCGUCUGUUCUCGCCUGGCCGGGCGGAGGGCGGGGAGGAUUCCCAAGCUUUGCUGCCUGAAGGUUCCCGUGUGAUCUGCAAAUGUCGAUCGUGUUUGGUUACAUUUAAUAGAGGAGACGAGAAUUUUUUCUGAAACCACCUCGCUGGCUCCAAACCAAGUGUGGGAAAGCAAGAACAUCAAUCUUUCCCCUUUUAGAACAAGUUUUCUUUUUUCGAAGGGAAAAAUUCCAGGCUCCAUCUUUCUUUAUGUGCCUUCCAGGCAGAGACCCCCCGACCCGCAGCUCCAGGGCUGGGUUGCCAAUGUGACCAAGCAGACGGGCCCCCCCGCCAGCACCUACCUGAGGCCUGCUGCUCAUUCCUACAAGGCGCUCUGGGGUGUGAGUCGGAGCUGCACCCCAGAAACGGCUCCCGAGGAACAGUGUCUGUGAGGCUGGGUGCUGGGGCCGCCUGCACCCCCCUUCCCCUCCCCAGAAAUGGCUCCUGAGGAGCAGUGUCUGUGAGGCUGGGUGCUGGGGCCGCCUGCACCCCCCUUCCCCUCCCAGGGCCCUGCAGGAGGCUGCAGGUGGGCACAGACUCACAGCAGCCUCUGGAAAGGGCUGCAGAGGGACUUGCUGGCCGACUGGCCAGGGACCAGGCUGGGCAGAGACCCCCAGGCGGGAGGGUUAGGGCUCACCAAGAUGCUCAACUCAGAUGAGAGGCCACCUGCCCACACCCUGGCAGGCCAGCUCUCAAGACCAGGGCCUUCCGUCCUCUUCUACCCCUCCUCUCCCUCUCCCUGCCCACAAGGGUCUUCUUAUACCCAGGCACCGGCCCCCAUUCCUGUGCCCUCUCUCCUCACCCUGGCCCCACUCCAGGAGCUGCCUGUGGUCCUGAGGCCUGGAGCUGAAGCACCUUCAUGGCACCAGUAAUUGUAAUGGCCACAUGUUCCCCUGCGAAGAAAGGGAAUAAAAGACCUUUUCUAGCUGA
Molecule: non-coding RNA, 2774 nt
Organism: Macaca mulatta (Rhesus monkey)
Lineage: Eukaryota; Metazoa; Chordata; Mammalia; Primates; Cercopithecidae
Source: RefSeq, a predicted model, not a curated record